CCAAGUUUGUCUUCAGCACUCAACACCUUCACACCUUCCACGUCCUGCUUCCUUCUGCCCUGGCCUUCCACUCCCCCCCUCCCCACCCCCCACCAACCGCUUGUGCUGUCUGCUGCUGCUUUGUGCCCAGGCCUGCCCCUCCAGGCCAUGUCCCGGGCUCCAAAAUGUUUCCAUCCUCCUGCUACCAACAGAAACUUCUAACUGCAUAACAUGGUACCUCCUCCCAGAGGACACGGAGAUGAGCAUCUCCCUCCAACUUUCACCUCUCCCAUAUUAGAGUCUGCGUCAACUCCUAGAAAGCUCCCUCAGACUUCACACAUUGAGGACUGGCUCCCAGCUUGUUUAUCCUCCCUCCUUCUCCUACAAACCAAUCUUUCUGAGUAGGAGCCCAAAGUAAAGAACUCCUGAGAGAAUAAUAAAAGAAAAUUCUUACAGACCAAGCUCAAAGCAAAACAGGGACCACGGCUGAAUAUAGCAGACAAGGAGGUAGUUGGAAGGGAAGAUUAUGCUGGACUGUGGGAUAAUCUGGUUCCCCUCAAAUCCCAGCCCUUAGAUUGGCCCUGGCUGCUAGUCUAGUAUUCCUUUGUAAGGACUUGACCAGUUUUGAGACACCUGCCCUGAACUGGGCCUUCCAGACUGGAGUCCCUUGGCAACCAAAAUCACCUUAGCUGCUCCACAUAGAGGGUGAGUGUCCAGUGUGACUUUGUAGGUAAAGGAAUCCUUCACACCAUAACUUUCAGUCUCUCUCAGGGACAGGGGUGUCACAUAGAGUUUGCAAAAUGGAUUCUUUAGGACUUCUGAUUUCUGUCUCGAGACAACCAGUUUGAAGACAAGGUAUUCUGGCCCAUUCUGGAAGUUUAGGUGGGUUUCAAAGCAAGAAAGAAAAAGGAAGGAAGGGAGAGCGGGAAGGAGGAAGGGAGAGCUGGAGAGAACUUUGUCUGGUUGAAGGUAGGGCAGUGUACAUUAUUGAUAAGCGUGUCCUCAUCCUUGUUAGCUUUCUGCUGUCUUCG
Molecule: long non-coding RNA, 1010 nt
Filed under: Equus caballus (horse)
Lineage: Eukaryota; Metazoa; Chordata; Mammalia; Perissodactyla; Equidae
Description: lncRNA (ENSECAG00000045134.1)
Source: RNAcentral